This 147-nucleotide ribosomal RNA is filed under the name Caulerpa veravalensis. RNAcentral's name for it is "5.8S ribosomal RNA". Lineage: Eukaryota; Viridiplantae; Chlorophyta; Ulvophyceae; Bryopsidales; Caulerpaceae. The record is from RNAcentral.
GCGUAGUUGACGGCUUGGUUCCCGGGUUGAUGAAGGAAGGAAGGAAAUUCGAAAGGUGGUGCGAAAUGCAAGGAUUUGUGAAUCCAAGGAUAUUCGAAUGCCUUGUUGUUCCUUUGCCGCCUUUGGGGUGCCAGGGGGGGGUUGGCC